RNAcentral lists this small RNA (28 nucleotides) under Bombyx mori (domestic silkworm). Its description in RNAcentral is "ovarian small RNA-3795". Lineage: Eukaryota; Metazoa; Arthropoda; Insecta; Lepidoptera; Bombycidae. The record is from RNAcentral.
UGGACGAAGUUUACGUUUUGUGCCUUGC